RNAcentral lists this ribosomal RNA (819 nucleotides) under uncultured eukaryote. RNAcentral's name for it is "SSU rRNA". It matches the Rfam family "Eukaryotic small subunit ribosomal RNA", at positions 629 to 1426 of the family's 1831-position model. The record is from RNAcentral.
CGGUGUUUAACUGGCGUGAUGUGGGACGUCCUACCGGUGGGCUUAGCCUCGCGAGGGGCGGCCCAACUAAUAUCCCGUCGCGGUGCUCUUUACUGAGUGUCGAGUCGGGCCGGUACGUUUACUUUGAACAAAUUAGAGUGCUUAAAGCAGGCUAUCCUCGCCUGAAUACUGCGUGCAUGGAAUAAUGGAAUAGGACCUCGGUUCUAUUUUGUUGGUUUUCGGAACCCCGAGGUAAUGAUUAAUAGGGACAGAUGGGGGCAUUCGUAUUGCGACGUUAGAGGUGAAAUUCUUGGAUCGUCGCAAGACGGACAGAAGCGAAAGCAUUUGCCAAAAAUGUUUUCAUUAAUCAAGAACGAAAGUUAGAGGUUCGAAGGCGAUCAGAUACCGCCCUAGUUCUAACCAUAAACGAUGCCAGCUAGCGAUCCGCCGAAGUUCCUCCGAUGACUCGGCGGGCAGCUUCCGGGAAACCAAAGCUUUUGGGUUCCGGGGGAAGUAUGGUUGCAAAGCUGAAACUUAAAGGAAUUGACGGAAGGGCACCACCAGGAGUGGAGCCUGCGGCUUAAUUUGACUCAACACGGGAAACCUCACCAGGCCCAGACACCGGAAGGAUUGACGGAUUGAUAGCUCUUUCUUGAUUCGGUGGGUGGUGGUGCAUGGCCGUUCUUAGUUGGUGGAGCGAUUUGUCUGGUUAAUUCCGAUAACGAACGAGACUCUAGCCUGCUAAAUAGGCGUACCUUAUGGUAUCGCGAAGGCCCCCGGCUUCGGCCGGUGGGUUUUUACUACCAACGUACAAACAAAUCUUCUUAGAGGGACAGGCGG